CUGCCGGCAAAUAAUCUUACGUUGGGUUACAAAUUCAAAUCUAUCAAAAAAUGAAUCAAUAAUUAUUUUUCUACUGAAUAUUGGUGUAAAAUUCCUGGAAAAUGACCAAUAGAACGCAGCACAGGUUCUUCUUGAUAUGAUUUAAAUGAAAACUACCCGGAAAAUCACACAUGUAUUCCAUAAUAAAAAAAGUUUUAAGAUAAGGAAUCGAAAUUUGAAGAGCUAAAAUUACGAUAAAUUUUUUUCUACAACCCAUUGAUUGGUGCGUGGUUUAAUGAGGGGUAAACCACCCUUAGCACGGUUACGGUACUGCUUGGUGACUCGUAGCUUCAUUGAUUGCAACGUCGUACACCAGGACAUCGGACGCCAUCGUGUAGCCGACUGCCGUCGAGGAGUAACAGAGACAUGCGCUUAUGAAAAUUAAAUAAAGACAGAGAUAGGAAAAAGAAUGAUGAAUAAAUAUAUAUAAAUUUAUAUAUAUAGUAAGAAAUAAAAAAUAAAAUCGGAUAGGAGAAACUGUGUCGAUCGUACAUACUAGGGGUUGUACUAUCGAUUUUUAUACUAAUAAGAAUUAAAUUUUUUAAUUUAUUAAUUUUAUCUCAACGAAAUAUAUUCAAGUUUUGAAUUUUUUAAAAUUAAAUCAAUGUGUAUGAGUAUAUUUUCAUAAACUUUUUCUAUAAAAAAAUGAAUGAGCAAAUAAACAACAAUAAGAUUAUAGUUUGAUGCCGGUAUUGUUGGUAAUAAAAAUUAUGUGGACUCAACAACUUAAUACCCAAUCGAUUUCCCAGUGUGCUCAGUGAACCGGGAAAUCCCGGGUUACACCGCGAGUAUAGUAGUAACGCUCGGUUAUCGUACGUCAUUGAUUCUCAACCAGACUGAUGAGAAGACUAGUAUAGACGAUACGAAUAUAAGCAAGAGCUUACAACCAGUAUACUAAAUAGAG
Molecule: long non-coding RNA, 943 nt
Organism: Microplitis mediator
Lineage: Eukaryota; Metazoa; Arthropoda; Insecta; Hymenoptera; Braconidae
Exons: 3
Source: RefSeq, a predicted model, not a curated record